AGAAACACGCCAGGCUCCCAACCACUACACCAGCCCUCAGCGCCUCAGUUUCCCGCUCCAGCCUGCGAAUGGGCUCCGGGGACGUCCAAGGCGAGGCGCCAGAGAAGCCACAUCAACUCAGCUCCUUACUCGACUCCUGCAUGGGCGAUACAGUCUCGCCCCAACCUCUCUAAGAGCCCCCGCUUCCCCGUUCUCUAUGUUAAGGCCUUGGAGCCUUCCCCAACUACUCGGACCUAUUUCCUCAAGGCUGCAAGCCCCAUGCCGCCUCACCGCGGGUCCUCGAACUCAACGAAGGCGAAGGGCGGUCCCCCGCGGCGAUUCUUGAGGUCGAUGUCGCGGAUAGCGCCGUAUUUGUAGAACACGUCCUCAAUGUCCUUGGUUCGGAUGUCUGGAGGUAAGUUACCCACGUAGAUGCGGCAAUCGUUGUUCCCUGCGGGGCCACGAAUCACACCACCUCCCGACAUGGCGGUGACGAAAAGCGCGGACUCGAGAACAGGCCUUCCCACCAAGCCUAGCGCACGGCAGAGCGAGCCCGCAGCGGCACCACGUCUCCCGCGGCCCCUCCAAAAUGGCGCCUUUAUCAGCUCGGCGCACGGAUAUGGGGGGGAGACAGAGGAAGAGAAGCGGAAGGAAACAGCGAUUCGAUCCCAACACGCACGCGCGGGAGCGCAACGGGUGCUGCGAGGGCUACGUUCAGCGCACGCGCACGCACGCGCGACGUCACCCUCCCCACGAAGGGGGUAAAAAAGUCCCCCGCGUUCCCAGCUUGGGGUGGUUUGCGAACAGAGUGACCAGCCGUUUGGUAAAAGUUAAAUAACGAACUUUCGUUAAAGGAGCUAGUCAUCCAGGUCGGGUCUUGAAGGAUGGUCGAUUUCUCCAGGAAUGAGGAUCUUUGAAAGCAACUCGGCGCCUUCAAAGCACUUGGUGAAACCUAGCCUAAAGCGUUGUCCCACCAUGCUCUGCGGCGAUAACGGCCUUUGGCGGGAAAGAGUCUCGGAGGCGGGGCCAAAGGGGGACGGCCCGGGCGGUUGCUCCGGAAACCCGGGUAUCUUCGUAGGGUGCGUCUAAUCCAGAGCUGAGUUGCGGGUGAUUGAACGGAGAGCUGGGGCGUUGGUUUGUCUUCCCGCCCCUGCUGCGAAUAGACCGUGGCUGCUUAGACAGAUGUGUCUAAUUUAGCGAAACCGAUUUAGAUUCCUUAAUCCUCUUCAUUAAGUACCGUUCCGCCUUCUCGUCAGAACUUUGCAUAGCUCGGGUCAGCACUCCUAGUGCUAGUCGCAGUGGGUCCGUAUCCCGACCGGCAACGUGGUACCCGCCAACCAGAAGGGGUAACACCGUACCGCCUAUGGGACCCACACCUUUUUAUCUCUUGUUAGUCGCCUGUCCGUGGGACUAGCGCAGAAUGCCUGCAGAAUGAAUCGUUUCUGUUGUUUCCUUUCAAAGAACGAGAAGGAAGAAAGGGUGCGUGUGUGCAGUCCUUUUUUCAAAAGUUUUCCCUAAAAGUUACUGAUACACCA
RNAcentral lists this long non-coding RNA (1514 nucleotides) under Homo sapiens (human). Its description in RNAcentral is "HSALNT0390782". Lineage: Eukaryota; Metazoa; Chordata; Mammalia; Primates; Hominidae. The record is from RNAcentral.